AUGCUUACCAUUAAGAGUGCCUUCUUUGCCAUUGCUGCUCUCUCUCUGUCCAGCCAUAUCUCUCCAAUUCUCUUUUCUACUAUGGCGAGAGACCCAGGGCGUAAACCAGCAAGUCCACUGCAGAAAUCAGUGGUAAGCAAACCUUAGUCUUCAUCAGAAUCACCUGGAGUGCUUGUUAGACCAGAUGGCGGGACCCCGCCUCAAGACUUUCUGAUUUAAUAGGCCUGGAGGGGGGCCGAGUAAUUUACAUGUCUAACAAGUUCUCAGGUCAUGAUGAUGAUGAUGAUGAUGAUGAUGAUGAUGCUGGUCCAAGGAGUGCACUUAAAGAAUCACUGGCAUAAGGAAAAAUCUAACAAGGUUGUUUGAAGAUUCUUUGUCCUCAGCUUUGGAUCUUAGUCACCAGUCUGGGAUUCCAGGAAAUGUCCUGCUCCACAACCUAUUAUGAAUAAAUGCAUGGGGGAGGCAGGGCCUUACUGAGAGCUAUCUUGAACGCAGUCUACAAUGAAUUACCCUGAAGAACCAAAUGAUGUCUCUUAGGGAGAGAGUCAAUCACCACAUUUUGAACAAAAAAGUGAUGUUACAAAAAAUUUCUUCAGGAAAGGUGAUCUGACAAUUGUCUACAGACUGAGGAGCUGAAAGGUUUGAGGCAAAGGACCAGUUGAAAGAAUAUCAUGAUAGUUAACAACUCACGAGAGUCCAUAGUGGGAAAAUGAAGAAAUUGGAGAAGGAUAAUGAUCCUGAGGCUGGAAGAUAAAUAAAAAUGUAAAGCAUAAAAUUUUCCUUGAUGGAAAGUAUAUCCUGAUUCCAAAGGAAGAUGGUGAUUUCAGCAGCGGGUUUAACUUCCCACUUCUGUCCACUCAUCACCCUCAUUUUCUGUUUGUAUCUAAAAAAUUUGAUGAAACUUAUUAAUUCACUUAAACAUUUACUAAGCUCUUACUAUAGGCCAAACGUUGUGCUCGGUGAAAGGAGUAUUAAAAUGGGAAAACAUGUCAGAGCCUAAAACUGGCAAUGCACACUUCACAAGCAAUUUCUGCUAAGGGGCUUGCAGAUAUCCCUUGACUGAAGAAGAACCAAAAAUCGAACUUUCCUCCUCAGAAUGUGGUGUGUGUCACAGAAAGUAGGUAAAAAAGGUACUGACAGAGUCUACUACUACUACCUAAUUUAGAGAGUUGAAGGUUGGGGUCAGGCUUGGCCAUGAGACAGAAGAUAGGCAGCUCCCUUGGGUAUGUCACUGCUUCUUCAGAUCAUCAGUAUCUGGAAGGAGCAAUAUGUAUCACCCUAAAUAAAACUCCAGCUAUCAGGCUU
RNAcentral lists this long non-coding RNA (1305 nucleotides) under Equus caballus (horse). RNAcentral's name for it is "lncRNA (ENSECAG00000048414.1)". Lineage: Eukaryota; Metazoa; Chordata; Mammalia; Perissodactyla; Equidae. The record is from RNAcentral.